AAUUGUAGUGUAGGAACGUAGGAUGCAAGACGUACAGCGAGAUCAUACAAGUUUGCAUUGAAUGAACGCCGGCCUUCAUUCCUACUUCUAAACGGCGGAAGAUUUCCUCCACUGAAAUAUUACGAACUAUACUCGCGCUAAACUGGUGUUGUGUUAGAUUAGUUUAUUUCGUGAGCGCUGUUGAAUCCGACGUGUAUAAUUCUUUUUAAAAUUUAUUUUGCGUGAAGAAAUUGUGCAGAUUCAUCAUGUAUAUUUCGUCGGUAUUGUUUUCAUGUGCAUUGGUAUUCAUCACAGUGACAGCUCAGCAAGAAAGAAAAGCCAUAGCUGUGGUGAGAAGCGUUGGAAGUGACGGUAUCAAAGGAAACAUUACUUUUACUCAAACCAGAAGCGGAGUAUUGAUUAGCGGAACCAUUGCUGGUCUUAGUAAAGGACAUCACGGAUUUCAUAUUCAUGAAAAAGGUGAUCUAAGUAAUGGCUGCGUUUCAACAGGAGGCCACUUCAAUCCCGACAAAAAAAACCACGGUUCCCCUUCAGAUAAAGAAAGACACGUCGGUGAUUUGGGUAACAUCGAAGCUAACGAUCUAGGAGUCGCCGUUUUCAACUACACCGAUGAACGUAUUUCGUUGAUCAAUACCAAAAGAAACAUUUUGGGACGUGCUGUUGUAGUUCACGCUGAUAGAGAUGAUCUAGGACGUGGAGGUGAAACUGACAGUUUAACUACUGGACAUGCUGGCGGUCGUCUGGCUUGCGGAGUUAUCGGCACACUUGAUGUGGUUGCAAAUCAAUUCGAAUGCAUUCAUUGAUGGAACCAGCUGAGGUGAAAUGACUUUUUAUUAAAAUUAUGGUUUUCUUUAUAUGGGAAUAUUAUUAUGGAGUAUGGCAGAUAGUGGUGCAUUCCCAACAUCUAUUAUUAAUCGGAAUUUAUCAGUUAUCGCAUUAGCAUUCGUUUUACUAAUGGGAAGAUACUUUCAAUAGCUCUGAUACAGCAAAAAACCAAAUUACCUGUCUGGGUUCACUUUUUUCAAAAUGUUUUGUGAAAUAAUUUAUUUAUUGAAAAUUUUAUUUAUGAUUUGUAAUUUAUUUAUUUACCUAUUUAUUUAUUUGUGUUGUAAAAAAUGUUGCAUUUAGUUGAUAAUAAUUUCACAUCGAAUCGAAUAAAUAUUUUUCAUCUUUGAUAUAAAUAA
This is an RNA transcript of Planococcus citri (citrus mealybug), 1184 nucleotides long. It is a transcript of the gene named superoxide dismutase [Cu-Zn]-like, with no coding region annotated. The record is from RefSeq and is a predicted model, not a curated record. The transcript has 6 exons. Lineage: Eukaryota; Metazoa; Arthropoda; Insecta; Hemiptera; Pseudococcidae.